UAAAACAACAAAGUACCUAUUACAGUUAUCUUGUUUCCACUGUGAAUCUUCAGAUAAUGAGUUUGAAAAAGAGAAUUGCUUUGCUUAAAUUUGAUUUCCCCAAAAUCCGCUCUGUGCCAUAUUACUAAAUAUGAGAUAUUGUCCCUUUUUGGGCCCUACAGGAAGGACGAAUGCAUAAAGAUGUUUAUAACACAUAUCUCAGUGCUAAAGAGAAUUAGACCUUAUAAACUCCUAGGUGAUGCAUGCAUUAUAAAUGGAAUAAUAUGCAGUGUCUUCUGAGCAGCACAGCAUUGCGUGCUUGCCUCCUUUUAGGAGAGGCAACCGAAAGAGGUCAAACGUGACAUCAGGGGAAGGCAAGUGAAGCACCACUCUGCACUUUGAAGGAAAGGAGAGAGGACUUUCUCUUGGGACUGAUUUUAAAGGGCAGUUUUUUAUCUAUGUGAUCUAACUCUACAUUCAUUUUAUACUGUAUGUUUCAACUUAGGGGUGGUUUUUCUUUCUAGAAUUGUAUUUGGUUGUUUUUCUGAGUACAAAGCUGUGGUAUGUCACUAGCAAUUAUGUGUCUGGUCCGUCUUUAAAGGUAACAAAGGUUCUGUGAAUAUAUUUGGUUUGUCAGUUACAUUUUUUAAAAAAAAGAGUUUUCAAAUAAGAAAAAAUAAAAUGACAAGACCUCGAGGGAAAUUAAAAGGAGAGAAUUUAAAAACAAACAAACAAACAAUUAAAAAAUAUUUUAAAAAGCACAAAUUAAAUUAAAAUAUUAAUAGUGAAACCUGACAGAAAUAUUCACAGACGAAACUGGGUGGAACUAAUCUGCAAUCCGAGUGCUGCCAGGAGCAACACCAUUUAAAAAGUGCCAUGUAAGGUCACAUUUAAAGCAGUAUGGGGCUAACAAGCACUGUGCUUAUAAACAAUACAUUAGGACAAAAAGCUGCUUCUAGACAAUAUUAUCAUCUGCGUUAGGGCAAAACACAUUCACAUAGAAAGUCUGUAGGAUGCUGUGUGCCAAAAUAAUCUGCGAGACAAUUUUCUGGCUCCGGACUGCUGCCAUCAGUUUGAGGACAGUUUAUGUUAUCUUGGGGAUUAGUAGUACAUUCAUAUGCAGCUCUGUAAUCUG
This is a long non-coding RNA of Astatotilapia calliptera (eastern happy), 1114 nucleotides long. NCBI's taxonomy places the organism in Eukaryota, Metazoa, Chordata, Actinopteri, Cichliformes, Cichlidae. The record is from Ensembl.